This 761-nucleotide long non-coding RNA is filed under the name Monodelphis domestica (gray short-tailed opossum). RNAcentral's name for it is "lncRNA (ENSMODG00000046404.1)". The record is from RNAcentral. Lineage: Eukaryota; Metazoa; Chordata; Mammalia; Didelphimorphia; Didelphidae.
CUCCAAUUAUGGGAAUCUGGAAGUUUGAGCAAAUUCCUUCUGGGCAGUUUCAUUCUUGUAACUGAAUCUGUCAAAGAGUUAGGAGGAAGGUUGGUCAGAGAUCAGGGACAAUCUCAGCAACAUUUAUCCAAGUCAUUAGAAGUUAAAUGGUAAGCAUCUCUGCAAUUCACUGUUAUUUAUUCACUCAGCAGAUAUUUACUGGGUACUGAUGAGCUGUGAUUGGUACUGUAUUCCAAAGUCUAAGAGCUUUUGCAACCCCAGAAUCACACUGAAUUCAAGUUAAAGUUCAGGAGUUACAGCUUCCUGGGGGAACUUCAACUCCUUCUGGAGUUCUGAGUUCAAGUUGGAGGCUGGUGAAGAAUCUGCUGACUGGACCUGAGACCCUGUACUUGGUGAGACUGCCCUUGAAUCACUCCCUUUGAACUGACAUGUGAGUGCCAACGUGAAGGCAGAGAUGCCAAGUGCAAGCUGCCUCCUCCCAACUUUAGAGCUCAAGUGCCAACCACAUACUGUCUGAUUACAUGGCAGGGCACAUGCAGUCAUAUUCAUCUCUCAAGACCUUCAAAGCUGCUUUUAUAUUAUUGCUUCGGUUUCCAUGGCAAUCAACGCCUACAUUUUCAAGGCUCCCCUCUGUGCUGCACGGAAUCCCAAUGUGCUCACAUGGCAAGAGUCCUGAUAUUGUUCUCCUUCAUUACAAUAGUACAUCGUUUGUAUUCCUUAGAAGAUGGUCUUGGGAACUUGUGGCAGAAAAGAAGAGCUGA